GUGGGGAAUUUUGGACAAUGGGCGCAAGCCUGAUCCAGCAAUGCCGCGUGCAGGAAGAAGGCCUUCGGGUUGUAAACUGCUUUUGUACGGAACGAAACGGUCCGGGUUAAUACCCUGGGCUAAUGACGGUACCGUAAGAAUAAGCACCGGCUAACUACGUGCCAGCAGCCGCGGUAAUACGUAGGGUGCAAGCGUUAAUCGGAAUUACUGGGCGUAAAGCGUGCGCAGGCGGUUUUGUAAGACAGGCGUGAAAUCCCCGGGCUCAACCUGGGAAUUGCGCUUGUGACUGGAAGGCUGGAGUGCGGCAGAGGGGGAUGGAAUUCCGCGUGUAGCAGUGAAAUGCGUAGAUAUGCGGAGGAACACCGAUGGCGAAGGCAAUCCCCUGGGCCUGCACUGACGCUCAUGCACGAAAGCGUGGGGAGCAAACAGGAUUAGAUACCCUAGUAGUCC
This 450-nucleotide ribosomal RNA is filed under the name uncultured bacterium. Its description in RNAcentral is "bacterial SSU rRNA". It matches the Rfam family "Bacterial small subunit ribosomal RNA", at positions 354 to 796 of the family's 1533-position model. The record is from RNAcentral.